Molecule: transfer RNA, 86 nt
Filed under: Alienimonas californiensis
Lineage: Bacteria; Pseudomonadati; Planctomycetota; Planctomycetia; Planctomycetales; Planctomycetaceae
Also listed under: 1 other name
Description: Planctomycetes bacterium CA12 tRNA-Leu
Rfam family: tRNA
About the family: Transfer RNA (tRNA) molecules are approximately 80 nucleotides in length.
Source: RNAcentral
GCCGGAGUGGCGGAAUGGCAGACGCGAAGGAUUCAAAAUCCUUUUCGGGGAAACCCGAGUGUGGGUUCGAGUCCCACCUCCGGCAC